UGCGUAGGCGGAUUAAUAAGUCAGUGGUGAAAUCUUUCGGCUCAACCGAGAAACUGCCAUUGAUACUGUUAAUCUUGAGUUCGGUUGAGGUAGGCGGAAUGUGUAAUGUAGCGGUGAAAUGCUUAGAUAUUACACAGAACACCAAUUGCGUAGGCAGCUUACUAGACCGACACUGGCGCUGAGGCACGAAAGCGUGGGGAGCGAACAGGAUUAGAUACCCUGGUAGUCC
RNAcentral lists this ribosomal RNA (229 nucleotides) under uncultured bacterium. RNAcentral describes it as "partial 16S ribosomal RNA". It matches the Rfam family "Bacterial small subunit ribosomal RNA", at positions 568 to 796 of the family's 1533-position model. The record is from RNAcentral.